AGACCCAGAAGCAGCAGCUGGAGUCCUUGCAAGAGAGAAAGAAGAACCGGUGCAGUGGGCUGAUAGUAGUGUCCGUGAAACAGGCCGAAGGAUCGAUCUUAGGGCGCCGAAACCCAUGUUUUUCUCUCAAGAGAGAUACCUGAUGUUGAGAAUGGGUGAGGGCUUCAAAACCAGGACUGGUUCUGUGGAGGGAGACGACGACUGAAAUCACGUUAGGGCUGGAAUAAAAGGAAGGGUAUAUUGGUAAAAGUACAUAUGGCAGUCUGUUUUCUUUUAUUUUCUCACCUAUAUUUUGUUCAUCCAAAUGAAAUGGUCAGAAACUACACUUCUUUCUUAUCUCACAAAUAAGAGAGGGAUUUUGUUAAUGUGUGCCCUUAAGACACAUGAUAAUGUUCAUUCACUGAGAUUAAUUAAAAUCUACUAUUAUAGAAAGUAGUGAAAGUUGUUGAAAUAUUGUACGCUCCUUUCUUCUCUUUUCUCACUAAUUUCGUUUAUCUCUUGCAAGGAACAAAAGCAAUAAGACGUUUCAUAUGCUAAAAUUUAAGGUGAUUACACCAUUUACGGAAUAGCAACGAUGGGGCAAAAUUUGACAUUUUCAAGACACCCUUGCAUAGACUCCUCGGAAAAAAAAUACAUUCACCGCACAAACAAGUUUCAGACGCAAUACCCUACUUUUCAGAUGCGAUCUAGCCCUAAUCUGUUCAAUGUAUUCAAGCCCAAAAAUCUACACUCCUAAUUUUUGCUCCAAACAUAGGAAGAAGUGAGAUUUAAAAACCUGUUAAUGCCUGGUAAUGGAUGGAAAACACCGGUGAAAUGAAGAAACUCCUCCAGAUCAAGAAAGAGCAAACUGGUAGAAGGAUUUUUUUUGUGCACGUAGCUAGCCAAAAUACCUAAAAUGUCAUUCUAACUACUCUCUUGUACAUACUCCCCUUCAAAACAACGAUGCUUCAUUUCAAUUUGAUUUAGGCUCUGCCCACAAUUAUCUCGUCUCGUGUUAGGUGCAAAUUUUUUAGCCCGAUUGUCGAUUCUAAAUUUGUAUUCUUAUUUUGUAUUUCAGAGUUAUUUUGUGUAGAAUCUAAUUUACGUUCUGACAGAAACAAUUCUCAAAACAUGAAUAAAGAAUCACAAUCUGAAUUUUGAAUUUUCAUUCUGAAAUUUUAAAUUUUGAGAUAACUAUUUUAUUCCUUACCCUUUAAAAAAAUUAUUAUUACAUAAACAUUUUUACAUAUGAUACGUUCACCCUAAAACUCUUGGAAUGCAGUGAUUGUUUGACGUGAUUUUGACAGAAUCGUGGCUAGAAUAUCAGACUCCUCUAAGUAUGUAGGGGGUGCGUGCGUGUGUGCUCUCAAAUAUGGCUGUUUUCAGUGGACAGGAUGUUAUCCGACGAUGCAUUAGUUUAGGCUUUGUAAUAAAUUUAGUUGUAGCCUGAUGUGUUUUGGGGUCGGUCGGUUAGUUUUGGCGGUGGUGUUUUUUGUGGUGUUGUUGCUUUCGUUUUUUUUUUUUUUAACUCCCUCUGUCCCUAAAUAUGUGUUCGGCAUGCAAAUUUAGGCUUUACAAAAGAUGCAUGUUUUUCAUUAAAAAAUCUAAUUUUUUUUCACAAUCUAAUAGAAUUCAUUGCUAUCUAUUAAUUUUUUUUAAAAAAAUUAAUUUUUUAAUGAAACAAAUGCAUCUUUUUAAAGGCCUAGGUUUGCGUGCUAGAUACUUAUUUAGGGACGGAAGGAGUACUUGUUUUUGUUAGGUUCUAGUUUCGGGUCGCACACACAUAUCCUAAACACUCAACACUAUGUUCCAUUCAUUAGGCUCUCGUUGGCCUUCGCUGGUUGUCGGCGUCCCUAGACUUCAUGUUGGCCUUUAUCUUCUGGCGAUAGCAUAGAUGAUGUGACUUUCGUGUUUUGCGGAUCAAUACACUGUGUGUUCUGCUCCUUAGGCUCUACUUUGGUCUUCGCUCGUUGCUUGUGUGUCUUCUUUAUUGUAAGAGCGACAACACAGUUGUACCUUUCUCUCUUUUAUUAUUAAUGCAUUUCUUGCUCUUCCUCCAAAAAAACAAAAAAAUAUGCCUCUCACAAUUUCCUUGUACUUUUGCUGACUAGUAUGCUCUCAACACUAGAAUUUCUCGCCUAUCAAAAAAAAAAAAACUAGGGUCAUCCUAAGGAAGAAUUCUAAGUGCUCUGGCCUAUCCUGAGUGACUCCUUAACAACUAGGCCCCGUUUGGAUGCAUCAUAUAGAAGGGGGAUUAUUUUUCACUCAUCUGUAAGAACUUGGCCCCACACUUUGCCCCCGUUUGGGAGCCAUAAACUGCAGGGGUUUUCCAGAACACCGUUCUUGGCAAAGACCGGAGAAAGGGGUAUCGGCGGUCUUAUCUUCGGCUGGGGUUUGAGGUCCCCAUAAGUUAUCCCCCCUAAUCCCCCUCGAAAAUGGACGAUUUCACCCCUCCUAAUCCCCCUUCUCCCAACCCCCAAUACCCCAGCCCAAAUUCAAAACCCUGGUUUUUUUUUACUAUGAACAGAGACAAUGAAACAAGAAGAAGAGAAUGAACAAAAACAGAUCGGAGAGAGGGAGGGAUCGAACCAGGCCAACGAGACCGUGGCGUUCACCAGGGAUCGUAGAAACGAAGUGUGUCGCAGUUUUUCUUCUUUCUUCUUCUACUGUUCUCUCUCUCUGUCUU
Rhododendron vialii is the source of this 2665-nucleotide long non-coding RNA. RefSeq lists it as uncharacterized. The record is from RefSeq and is a predicted model, not a curated record. The transcript has 2 exons. Lineage: Eukaryota; Viridiplantae; Streptophyta; Magnoliopsida; Ericales; Ericaceae.